Small nuclear RNA from Saimiri boliviensis boliviensis (Bolivian squirrel monkey), 107 nucleotides. The record is from RefSeq and is a predicted model, not a curated record. Lineage: Eukaryota; Metazoa; Chordata; Mammalia; Primates; Cebidae.
GUGCCUGCUUCGGCAGCACAUACACUAAAAUUGGAACAAUGCAGAGAAGAUUAGCACGGCCCCUGCGAAAGGAUGACACACAAAUUUGUGAAGCGUUCCAUAUUUUA